AGCAUACUCCCUCCGUCCGAAAAUACUUGUCAUCAAAAUGGAUAAAAAGAGAUGUAUCUCGAACUAAAAUACGUCUAGAUAGAUCCUUUUUUUAUCUAUUUUGAUGACAAGUAUUUCCGGAUGAAGGGAGUACUAC
Triticum aestivum (bread wheat) is the source of this 136-nucleotide non-coding RNA. Lineage: Eukaryota; Viridiplantae; Streptophyta; Magnoliopsida; Poales; Poaceae. The record is from Rfam.